GCCCACAUAGCUCAGUCGGUAGAGCACCUCCAUGGUAAGGAGGGGGUCACUGGUUCAAAUCCAGUUGUGGGCUCCG
This 76-nucleotide transfer RNA is filed under the name Gammaproteobacteria bacterium. RNAcentral's name for it is "tRNA-Thr". It matches the Rfam family "tRNA". Rfam says of the family: Transfer RNA (tRNA) molecules are approximately 80 nucleotides in length. Their secondary structure includes four short double-helical elements and three loops (D, anti-codon, and T loops). Further hydrogen bonds mediate the characteristic L-shaped molecular structure. tRNAs have two regions of fundamental functional importance: the anti-codon, which is responsible for specific mRNA codon recognition, and the 3' end, to which the tRNAs corresponding amino acid is attached (by aminoacyl-tRNA synthetases). tRNAs cope with the degeneracy of the genetic code in two manners: having more than one tRNA (with a specific anti-codon) for a particular amino acid; and 'wobble' base-pairing, i.e. permitting non-standard base-pairing at the 3rd anti-codon position. Lineage: Bacteria; Pseudomonadati; Pseudomonadota; Gammaproteobacteria. The record is from RNAcentral.